RNAcentral lists this ribosomal RNA (468 nucleotides) under uncultured bacterium. RNAcentral describes it as "partial 16S ribosomal RNA". It matches the Rfam family "Bacterial small subunit ribosomal RNA", at positions 28 to 507 of the family's 1533-position model. The record is from RNAcentral.
GACGAACGCUGGCGGCGUGCUUAACACAUGCAAGUCGAACGGAAAGGCCCUGCUUUUGUGGGGUGCUCGAGUGGCGAACGGGUGAGUAACACGUGAGUAACCUGCCCUUGACUUUGGGAUAACUUCAGGAAACUGGGGCUAAUACCGGAUAGGAGCUCCUGCUGCAUGGUGGGGGUUGGAAAGUUUCGGCGGUUGGGGAUGGACUCGCGGCUUAUCAGCUUGUUGGUGGGGUAGUGGCUUACCAAGGCUUUGACGGGUAGCCGGCCUGAGAGGGUGACCGGCCACAUUGGGACUGGGAUACGGCCCAGACUCCUACGGGAGGCAGCGGUGGGGAAUAUUGCACAAUGGGCGGAAGGCUGAUGCAGCAACGCCGCGUGCGGGAUGACGGCCUUCGGGUUGUAAACCGCUUUCGCCUGUGACGAAGCGUGAGUGACGGUAAUGGGUAAAGAAGCACCGGCUAACUACGUG